This is a long non-coding RNA of Onychostruthus taczanowskii (white-rumped snowfinch), 530 nucleotides long. RefSeq lists it as uncharacterized. NCBI's taxonomy places the organism in Eukaryota, Metazoa, Chordata, Aves, Passeriformes, Passeridae. The record is from RefSeq and is a predicted model, not a curated record. The transcript is spliced from 3 exons.
AGAUACUGCAGCACUGACUUAGUAACAAGGAGGACUACACUAGAAUCAGGAUUAAAAAUCAACUCAGCUCUUUCAGUUCUCCAGCAAAUGAAAGCUCACACCACAUAUUGCACCCCAGCUUGCCAAGUUGUGGUCAAACUCUCCUCCUACUCUCAUUCUGAAACAGUGCUGCCAUGCCAGUAUAUUCUGUCCUGAAGAAGAAAUUAAGUAAACCAAAAAAAGAAGAGGAAAUAUAUUUCAGGAAACUUGAACGGCUUAAGGCCACCAAAUGAGCAGGACUCACAGAGCUGCUCCUUACCUCACCAGCACUAUGAAAGACACAUCAGAGGAGGUGCCAGGAAGAUAAAAAUAGGGCAAAAGAAGUAUGACAUCGUAAAAGAAAGAGGAAAGCCUCAAAAGGAUGGAGAGACAUCAGCACAGGAAAGCUGGUGAGGAAAAAAAAAUCAUAAAAAUAAAAUGUCUGGCUCACUAUACAGCAGCAAUAAAGAAUUGGCUCCUGAAGAAUAAAACCAGUUCUUGAAACCUUUUCA